GCGGGGGGGGGGUGCUAUACAUGCAGUCGAGCGGACAGAAGGGAGCUUGCUCCCGGAUGUUAGCGGCGGACGGGUGAGUAACACGUGGGUAACCUGCCUGUAAGACUGGGAUAACUCCGGGAAACCGGAGCUAAUACCGGAUAGUUCCUUGAACCGCAUGGUUCAAGGAUGAAAGACGGUUUCGGCUGUCACUUACAGAUGGACCCGCGGCGCAUUAGCUAGUUGGUGAGGUAACGGCUCACCAAGGCGACGAUGCGUAGCCGACCUGAGAGGGUGAUCGGCCACACUGGGACUGAGACACGGCCCAGACUCCUACGGGAGGCAGCAGUAGGGAAUCUUCCGCAAUGGACGAAAGUCUGACGGAGCAACGCCGCGUGAGUGAUGAAGGUUUUCGGAUCGUAAAGCUCUGUUGUUAGGGAAGAACAAGUGCAAGAGUAACUGCUUGCACCUUGACGGUACCUAACCAGAAAGCCACGGCUAACUACGUGCCAGCAGCCGCGGUAAUACGUAGGUGGCAAGCGUUGUCCGGAAUUAUUGGGCGUAAAGGGCUCGCAGGCGGUUUCUUAAGUCUGAUGUGAAAGCCCCCGGCUCAACCGGGGAGGGUCAUUGGAAACUGGGAAACUUGAGUGCAGAAGAGGAGAGUGGAAUUCCACGUGUAGCGGUGAAAUGCGUAGAGAUGUGGAGGAACACCAGUGGCGAAGGCGACUCUCUGGUCUGUAACUGACGCUGAGGAGCGAAAGCGUGGGGAGCGAACAGGAUUAGAUACCCUGGUAGUCCCACGCCGUAAACGAUGAGUGCUAAGUGUUAGGGGGUUUCCGCCCCUUAGUGCUGCAGCUAACGCAUAAUGCACUCCGGCCUGGGGAGUACUGGUCGCAAUGACUGAAACUCAAAUGAAAUCGACGGGGGCCCGCACAAGCGGUGGUGCAUGUUGGUUUUAAUUCGAAGCAACCGCGAAGAACCUUACCUGGUCCUUGACAUCCUCUGGACAACCCUAAGAGAUAGGGCUUUCCCUUCAGGGACUGAUUGACGAGUGGUGUAUUGCUUUGUCGUUCAGCUUCGUGUCUUGAAGAUGGUGGGUUAGUUCCCGCCAACCUAGCGUCACCCUUUGAU
Molecule: ribosomal RNA, 1110 nt
Filed under: Bacillus pumilus
Lineage: Bacteria; Bacillati; Bacillota; Bacilli; Caryophanales; Bacillaceae
Description: bacterial SSU rRNA
Rfam family: Bacterial small subunit ribosomal RNA
Source: RNAcentral